CAAUAGCGUAUAUUUAAGUUGUUGCAGUUAAAAAGCUCGUAGUUGGAUUUCGGAUGGGACUUGCCGGUCCGUCGUUUCGAUGUGCACUGGCCAGUCCUAUCUUGUUGUCGGGGACUAGCUCCUGGGCUUCACUGUCCGGGACUAGGAGCUGACGAGGUUACUUUGAGUAAAUUAGAGUGUUCAAAGCAAGCCUACGCUCUGAAUACAUUAGCAUGGAAUAACACGAUAGGACUCUGGCUUAUCUUGUUGGUCUGUGAGACCAGAGUAAUGAUUAAGAGGGACAGUCGGGGGCAUCCGUAUUUCAUUGUCAGAGGUGAAAUUCUUGGAUUUAUGAAAGACGAACUUCUGCGAAAGCAUUUGCCAAGGAUGUUUUCAUUAA
RNAcentral lists this ribosomal RNA (379 nucleotides) under uncultured eukaryote. RNAcentral describes it as "partial 18S ribosomal RNA". It matches the Rfam family "Eukaryotic small subunit ribosomal RNA", at positions 592 to 976 of the family's 1831-position model. The record is from RNAcentral.